This 253-nucleotide ribosomal RNA is filed under the name uncultured bacterium. RNAcentral describes it as "partial 16S ribosomal RNA". It matches the Rfam family "Bacterial small subunit ribosomal RNA", at positions 524 to 776 of the family's 1533-position model. The record is from RNAcentral.
GACAGAGGGGGCGAGCGUUGUCCGGAGUCACUGGGCGUAAAGCGCGCGCAGGCGGCAACCUAAGUGUCGUGUGAAAGCCCCCGGCUCAACCGGGGGAGGCCAUGGCAAACUGGGUCGCUCGAGCUGCGGAGAGGCCCCUCGAAUUGCCGGUGUAGCGGUGAAAUGCGUAGAGAUCGGCAGGAAGACCAAGGGGGAAGCCAGGGGGCGGGCCACAGGCUGACGCUGAGGCGCGACAGCGUGGGGAGCAAACCGG